Molecule: ribosomal RNA, 566 nt
Filed under: uncultured archaeon
Lineage: Archaea
Description: bacterial SSU rRNA
Rfam family: Archaeal small subunit ribosomal RNA
Source: RNAcentral
AGAAAGGGCCGGGCAAGACCGGUGCCAGCCGCCGCGGUAAUACCGGCGGCUCGAGUGGUGGCCACUAUUACUGGGCUUAAAGCGUUCGUAGCUGGUUUGUUAAGUCUCUGGGGAAAUCUUCCGGCUUAACCGGAAGGCGUCUCAGGGAUACUGGCAGACUAGGGACCGGGAGAGGUGAGGGGUACUCCAGGGGUAGGAGUGAAAUCCUGUAAUCCUUGGGGGACCACCUGUGGCGAAGGCGCCUCACCAGAACGGCUCCGACAGUGAGGGACGAAAGCUGGGGGAGCAAACCGGAUUAGAUACCCGGGUAGUCCCAGCUGUAAACGAUGCGCGUUAGGUGUAUCGGUGACCACGAGUCACCGAGGUGCCGAAGAGAAAUCGUGAAACGUGCCGCCUGGGAAGUACGGUCGCAAGGCUGAAACUUAAAGGAAUUGGCGGGGGAGCACCACAACAGGUGGAGCCUGCGGUUUAAUCGGACUCAACGCCGGGAAACUCACCAGUUAAGACAGCUGAAUGAUAGUCGGGCUGAAGACUCUACUUGACUAGCUGAGAGGAAGUGCAUGGCC